Molecule: ribosomal RNA, 657 nt
Filed under: uncultured bacterium
Lineage: Bacteria
Description: bacterial SSU rRNA
Rfam family: Bacterial small subunit ribosomal RNA (bases 1-535)
Source: RNAcentral
CCUACGGGAGGCAGCAGUAAGGAAUAUUGGACAAUGGUCGCAAGACUGAUCCAGCCAUGCCGCGUGCAGGAUGACGGCCCUAUGGGUUGUAAACUGCUUUUAUACGGGAAAAAACCUCUCUACGUGUAGAGAGCUGAUUGUACUGUAAGAAUAAGGAUCGGCUAACUCCGUGCCAGCAGCCGCGGUAAUACGGAGGAUCCAAGCGUUAUCCGGAUUCAUUGGGUUUAAAGGGUGCGUAGGCGGAAUGAUAAGUCAGUGGUGAAAGCCUGUUGCUCAACAACAGAACUGCCAUUGAUACUGUCAAUCUUGAGUACAUUUGAUGUGGGCGGAAUGUGUCAUGUAGCGGUGAAAUGCUUAGAUAUGACACAGAACACCGAUUGCGAAGGCAGCUCACAAAACUGUAACUGACGCUGAGGCACGAAAGCGUGGGUAUCAAACAGGAUUAGAUACCCUGGUAGUCCACGCUGUAAACUAUNAUACUCUAUGUUGUGAUACACUAGUAAGUACGUCUAGACGAAGACGAGUAAGUAAUACCUACCCGUACGGGUAGGUACGGCCCGGCCGACCGGUACGGAAACGUAACGAAAGUUAAGUUAAGUUAGUUACGGACGGNGGAGGACGACGCCGACGGACGACGACGACGGGACGGGAGGGAGG